This 1465-nucleotide ribosomal RNA is filed under the name Prochlorococcus sp. AG-363-O06. RNAcentral describes it as "bacterial SSU rRNA". It matches the Rfam family "Bacterial small subunit ribosomal RNA". Lineage: Bacteria; Bacillati; Cyanobacteriota; Cyanophyceae; Synechococcales; Prochlorococcaceae. The record is from RNAcentral.
AGAGUUUGAUCCUGGCUCAGGAUGAACGCUGGCGGCGUGCUUAACACAUGCAAGUCGAACGAACCUUCGGGUUAGUGGCGGACGGGUGAGUAACGCGUGGGAAUCUGCCCUCAGGAGGGGGAUAACGGCUGGAAACGGCCGCUAAUACCCCAUAUGCCGAGAGGUGAAAUGAAUUUCGCCUGAGGAUGAGCCCGCGUCUGAUUAGCUUGUUGGUGAGGUAAUGGCUCACCAAGGCUUCGAUCAGUAGCUGGUCUGAGAGGAUGAUCAGCCACACUGGGACUGAGACACGGCCCAGACUCCUACGGGAGGCAGCAGUGGGGAAUUUUCCGCAAUGGGCGAAAGCCUGACGGAGCAACGCCGCGUGAGGGAUGAAGGCCUCUGGGCUGUAAACCUCUUUUCUCAAGGAAGAAGAUCUGACGGUACUUGAGGAAUAAGCCACGGCUAAUUCCGUGCCAGCAGCCGCGGUAAUACGGGAGUGGCAAGCGUUAUCCGGAAUUAUUGGGCGUAAAGCGUCCGCAGGCGGCCUUUCAAGUCUGCUGUUAAAACGUGGAGCUUAACUCCAUCAUGGCAGUGGAAACUGUUGGGCUUGAGUUUGGUAGGGGCAGAGGGAAUUCCCGGUGUAGCGGUGAAAUGCGUAGAUAUCGGGAAGAACACCAGUGGCGAAGGCGCUCUGCUGGGCCAUAACUGACGCUCAUGGACGAAAGCCAGGGGAGCGAAAGGGAUUAGAUACCCCUGUAGUCCUGGCCGUAAACGAUGAACACUAGGUGUCGGGGGAAUCGACCCCCUCGGUGUCGUAGCCAACGCGUUAAGUGUUCCGCCUGGGGAGUACGCACGCAAGUGUGAAACUCAAAGGAAUUGACGGGGGCCCGCACAAGCGGUGGAGUAUGUGGUUUAAUUCGAUGCAACGCGAAGAACCUUACCAGGGUUUGACAUCCUGCGAACCUCUAAGAAAUUGGAGGGUGCCUUCGGGAACGCAGUGACAGGUGGUGCAUGGCUGUCGUCAGCUCGUGUCGUGAGAUGUUGGGUUAAGUCCCGCAACGAGCGCAACCCACGUUUUUAGUUGCCAGCAUUUAGUUGGGCACUCUAGAGAGACCGCCGGUGAUAAACCGGAGGAAGGUGUGGAUGACGUCAAGUCAUCAUGCCCCUUACAUCCUGGGCUACACACGUACUACAAUGCUACGGACAAAGGGCAGCAAACUCGCGAGAGCUAGCAAAUCCCAUAAACCGUGGCUCAGUUCAGAUCGUAGGCUGCAACUCGCCUACGUGAAGCAGGAAUCGCUAGUAAUCGCAGGUCAGCAUACUGCGGUGAAUACGUUCCCGGGCCUUGUACACACCGCCCGUCACACCAUGGAAGUUGGCCACGCCCGAAGUCGUUACUCCAACCCUUGUGGAGGAGGACGCCGAAGGUGGGGCUGAUGACUGGGGUGAAGUCGUAACAAGGUAGCCGUACCGGAAGGUGCGGCUG